CCCCGCGCGUGGGCCGCCGGGGCACCGACCGCUGCUGGGGCAGUGGUGGAGGCCGUUGCCGUGGGGAGGCUGCUGCCGGAGACCCUGUGUCGGCGCGGCUGCGCGGGCGCCUGCCUCGCUUGCGAGCUGCGGCUGUCCCUGCUUGCAGGCCGGCCUGAGGAGCCAGCAAGGGCCAGCUGUUUGCCACACGAGAAUGGGGCGGCAAGGGCAGGGCUGAAUGGUUUCCGCGGCCCGCCUUCCCUGUGGCCCAGAGGGCUUCGGGGCACACAGGCCUCCCUAAUGCGGGUUUUCCUGAAACUGAUGAAGAGUUAUCUGCUCUAGCAAAUGUGCCUGACUGUACGGCCAUGUCCUCAACAUCCUUUCUCUUUCUGCCAUCAACGCUUCAUGCAGCGUUGCUACAUAACAUAAAACAAGAAGGUGCCUUGUACAACUGCAGAGUCUUCACAAGAUUUCUACAUGCGAAUUCAUAUCUGCACCUUGAAAGUUGGGGGGCACCUGCCCUUGCCCAAGCACAGCUGUGUUUGCCUCACCAGACACAUCAGAGAUGCUUGGACAAAGUUUCCUUGAAGAAGAGAAAAAAAAAAGAAAAAGAAAGAAAAAGAAAAAGGUAAGACUUAAACAGCCACCCAGAAAUUUUUGAUUCACAAUUACAAUUAACUUUGCAGAUGAAAAAUUCAUGAAAGUUCAUGAAAUUUCAUGAAACUUAGAUGUCAGCUGAAGGAGAAAACUGGCACAUCAUUUAUAAUCAAACAGCAUGGUAUGUUCAACAGCGUGAAUUAAUUUGAUAUUCUUAUAGUACACCCCUAGUAGAUACGUGUCUACUAUCUGAAAUCAGCAUACAGCUUGAUCUUCUGCACCUUGACAGAAAUUCUUUCUAGAAUAUUAGGUCAAUAAGUGAGACCAUUAGCAGUGCUCUAUGGGAAGUUGCAUUUGGAAUCUGAUCGUUGUUCUGUGUUGUGGUUUCCAACAGCACGAAAUCGAAUUAGGAUCAAAAGACUUGCAGCUACAACGCCAGUGAAAUUA
This 1023-nucleotide long non-coding RNA is filed under the name Apteryx haastii (Great spotted kiwi). RNAcentral's name for it is "lncRNA (ENSAHAG00000008422.1)". Lineage: Eukaryota; Metazoa; Chordata; Aves; Apterygiformes; Apterygidae. The record is from RNAcentral.